CACACACACACAAAACAGAUUCUGAUAUUGAUGAGCUGAAACCUGUAGAAGCAGCAGCACUUCUGUAAGUGUCUCUGGAUAAGGAAAAUGAAAUUGUGUCGUUUCCACUAGAGGUGUGAUUUCUGAGGUCUUUUCUCUAUAGGAGGAAGAUGUGGAGAGAACGUGAUCACUGAAGGACGUCCGGACUGUAAGAGAAAGCGGAAGGAUCAGACUGAACCUGAUGUUAUUUACUCUACUGUAACCCACAUGAAAACAGCCGGAGCAGCACGGGUCCAGAUCAACGCUGGAGACAACACUGAAUAUGCCAGCAUUCUAACAAUCUAAUCCACAGUAAAUAUCUACAAUAAUACUGAAUACAUACAAUAUAUUAAAUACACACCAUGGUAAGCACAGGAUUCACAAUAUUGGCUUUGUUUAUUUUACUGUGACUUUUUUUUUUUUAUUUGACCAUUAAUAGCAGAUUUGUGUGCUGAUGGAUAAUCCUGCAAAUUAUAUUUUGAGUGCCUGUGUCAUUUAAUAUCAUUUAUUAUUUUGUAUCAUUUGUUUUUUUUUUUAUUUACAUUAAUGUCAUUUGGUAGACGCCUUCAUCCAGAGCGACUUACAUUUAUCUAAUUUAAACAGCUGAUCAAUUGAGGGUUAAGGUCCUUGGCCAAGAGCCCAACAGUAGUAGCUCGGCAGUGCUGGGGUUUGAACUCCUAACCUUCUGAUCAGUAACCCAGAGACUUUAACCACUGAGACACCUCUUAUAUUUCUAGAAGGAUUUUGUCAUCACCCUGUUUUGUGUAAAUUGUUGUUAAAACAGUCCUUAUAACAUGUUAAAGGGUGCAUGAUAAUGUGCUUGUUGAGUGUUGAGUAUCACACAGUAUUCUCUGUGCAAGGUACAUCUUUCGUUAACUUUGAGAAAGAGGAAGUAGCCAUUUUCCCAUCAAUCCCCACUGCCCUGCCCUGGUCUUACAGCAGAAACAGCCUCUUACAGCCUCUGACAUGCUGAGUGUCUCACAGUGGCUCUGAAGUACCAUGAGAACGCUAGUUAUGAAUGCAAUUGUGGUUUAAUGAACUGCUAAUACCUUUCAGAGGCACGUGUAUGACCUUGCAGCAAAGUCAUAAAGUGACAUGAUUGUAAUUUAGCAUCCUGCAGAUUCUCAUAAAGAGAGGUCUUAAAGGACUCUAGCACAUGUGAGGGGGGAAUUGCUGUUACACCUGCUGUCAGUCCUUAAUAAUGUCUGCCACUUGUCAGAGUGGCAGUGAACCAGCCUCAUGGUGAUGAAUUGUGCAGCUUGUUCCACUGUGAGACCAAGUGCUGGAAAUAGGCAUCGCGCAUAAACCACUGACAUGAACCGCUGACAUGAAUCCUGUGGUUGCAUGGCAUAGAUUACAUCUGACACCCUUAGCAUUCAGUGUUUUAGUAUGUGAAAAUCUCACUUUGCCUGGAACAUAGGAUCCUCUUUCCAUAAAGAGAAGAAGAGAAAGAAACAUAUGGACUAUGGCUUAUAUACAGCAUGGUGCAGCUAUAGGGUUAAUUAAUUUAUUUAUUAAUUCAUCUUCAGUAACUGAUUUAUCCUGGUCAGCGUCAUCAUGGACCCGGACUCUAUCUCAGCAACGCUGGGCACAAGGUGGGAGAAUUCAGAUGGGACGCCAGUCCAUCUCAGAGCACCAUUCACACACAUUCACACCUGGGGCAAUCAAACAUAGUAAAGCUGCAUGUUUUUGGACAGUGGGAGGAAACCGCACACACAACCACAAGGAGGACAUGCAAACAUAUGCACAGACAUUAACAUGGUUUCAUUUUCACCUUUUAAGGAUUUGUAAGGAUCUUGUUGACUGCACAGUCAUAUCUACACACUUUUAUUUUCUGUUCAUGUCAUAUUCUAAGUCGUCCAGGCAUCUCACCAGGUCUAAACAUUUAAGGUAUAAAUGUUUUUAGGUUUUCUUUACAUUAAGUUUCUCACUCUUCUUGGUUUUGCUUGUGCACACACUUCUUAAAUAAUAUAAUAUUCUUAAUAUUCCCAUAAUUUGAAAAUACUUUAGAAAUUUUACUUGAAACAUUUGUAAAAUUCCUGUAGCUUGUUUGUAGCUUAUACAUUUUCAUACUAUUUGCAGUGAUAAAAAUAAAUAAAAAAUGACAGUGGAGCAUGAUAUUUGAAAUUUUUAUUGUAGCACAAUCACAUCCCUAAUAUUUUCACAUAAAUAAUGUUGUGGAUAAAAAAAUGUCAUAAAAUAAACAUAAGGGAGACCUAGCAUCCAGCAAAAGGGAGAAGAAGAAAAAACGGGCACCUAGACACAUAGAAGCGGGAUUAGGCGGACAUUGACGGAUUGGAAUUACACUUUAAAGAUCUUUAAGAGCAGUAGUAGUCAAAAAAAGCCAAAAAGAGGUAUACGAGCUGAGCUGAGGAGUGCUAAUACACACACACACACACACACACACACACACACACACACACACACACGCUCGUACAGUCAAGGGCGGGCAAGUAGACACAACAUACACACACACUCUCUCUUUCUCAUACACACACAUGAAUAACUUUAAUAAUAUCUUAUAGUAAUAGAGAAACUCUAUAAAAAAAACAGAAUAGUGG
Long non-coding RNA from Ictalurus punctatus (channel catfish), 2579 nucleotides. RefSeq lists it as uncharacterized. The transcript has 2 exons. The record is from RefSeq and is a predicted model, not a curated record. NCBI's taxonomy places the organism in Eukaryota, Metazoa, Chordata, Actinopteri, Siluriformes, Ictaluridae.